UAAGAAUUUAAAAGUCGAACAGACUUAUUACCAAGAAAGCUGCUUCUCAAAAUUUUCUUAAUUCAACAUCGAGGUCGCAAAAUACAAUAUAGAUAUGAACUCCCCAUUGAAAUUACGCUGUUAUCCCUAAGGUAACUUAAUCUUAUUAUCCAUUUUUAGGAUCUAAAAUAACAUACAUAAAUGAGUUUAAAAACUAAAGUUAAUUUAUUUAGCCACCACCCCAGCAAAAUAUAAAUACAUAUUAAAAAAUAUUUAAAUAAAAAUUAAUAAUAUAAAAUUAUAUAAAGUUCUACAGGGUCUUAUCGUCCCAAUAAGUCAAUAAAGCAUUUUAACUUUAAAUUUAAAUUUUAACACUUAAAAAAAUAAAACAUAAUUCUCAUACAUCCAUUCAUACAAGCUUCCAAUUAAAAAACUAAUUACUAUGCUACCUUUGCACAGUCAAAAUACUGCAGCCAUUUAGAAAUCUAAACCAUAGGGCAGAAGAUACUUUUUAUAAAAACA
This 501-nucleotide ribosomal RNA is filed under the name Nesophrosyne sp. 340 GMB-2012. RNAcentral's name for it is "partial 16S ribosomal RNA". Lineage: Eukaryota; Metazoa; Arthropoda; Insecta; Hemiptera; Cicadellidae. The record is from RNAcentral.